This 197-nucleotide ribosomal RNA is filed under the name uncultured bacterium. RNAcentral describes it as "partial 16S ribosomal RNA". It matches the Rfam family "Bacterial small subunit ribosomal RNA", at positions 1306 to 1500 of the family's 1533-position model. The record is from RNAcentral.
UGAAAUUCGACUUCAUGAAGCUGGAAUUGCUAGUAAUGGCAGGUCAGCAUACUGCCGUGAAUACGUUCCCGGGCCUUGUACACACCGCCCGUCACACCAUGAGAGUCGGGAACACCCGAAGUCCGUAGCCUAACUUUAACGAGGGGGCGCGGCCGAAGGUGGGUUCGAUAAUUGGGGUGAAGUCGUAACAAGGUAUC